AGGAUGGUGGUCAUAUUACAACCUGACUGAUAGAAUUCAGUCUACACCAAUCAUAGGACUAGAUGCAUCACACUAGUUACUAGUGUCAAAUCAAAAUAUAGACUUUUAUGUUUGUAUCCUUUAACCGGGUGUCGGGAGCGGAGCAUCUUUACUUUGAACCAAUUUGAAUGCUUAAGACAGGCCUUUGUGCCUAGAAAUUUUUGCAUGAAAUAAUGAAAUAGGACUUCGGUUCUAUUUUGUUGGUUUCCGGAUCCGAAGUUAAGGUUAAGAGGGAGAGACGGGGGCAUUUGUAUGGCGGUGUUAGAGGUGAAAUUCUGGGAUCAUCGCCAGGCAAACUACAGCGAAAGCAUUCGUCAAGGAUGUUUUCAUUGAUCAGGAGCGAAAGUCAGAGUUUCGAAGUCGAUCAGAUACCGUCGUAUUUCUGACCAUAAACGAUGCCAAGUGACGAUCCACGAUGGUCCUAUAGAUGACAUUGCAGGCAGUUCCCGGGAAACCUUUAAGUCUUUGGGCU
Molecule: non-coding RNA, 511 nt
Filed under: Trichobilharzia regenti
Lineage: Eukaryota; Metazoa; Platyhelminthes; Trematoda; Strigeidida; Schistosomatidae
Description: Eukaryotic small subunit ribosomal RNA
Rfam family: Eukaryotic small subunit ribosomal RNA
Source: Rfam by way of RNAcentral